ACUCCUACGGGAGGCAGCAGUGGGGAAUAUUGGACAAUGGGCGCAAGCCUGAUCCAGCAAUGCCGCGUGAGUGAAGAAGGUCUUCGGAUUGUAAAGCUCUUUCGACGGGGACGAUGAUGACGGUACCCGUAGAAGAAGCCCCGGCUAACUUCGUGCCAGCAGCCGCGGUAAUACGAAGGGGGCUAGCGUUGCUCGGAAKGACUGGGCGUAAAGGGCGCGUAGGCGGUUCGUACAGUCAGACGUGAAAUUCCCGGGCUCAACCUGGGGGCCGCGUUUGAUACGUACGGGCUUGAGUUCGGAAGAGGGUCGUGGAAUUCCCAGUGUAGAGGUGAAAUUCSUAGAUAUUGGGAAGAACACCGGUGGCGAAGGCGGCGACCUGGUCCGAUACUGACWCUGAGGCGCGAAAGCGUGGGGGAGSAAACAGGAUUAGAUACCCCUGGUAGUCCACGCCCUAAACGAUGUCGACUGGUUGUUGGGGGUUUGACACUCUCAGUAACGAARGCUAACGCGKGAAGUCGACCGCCUGGGGAGUACCGCCGCAAGGUUAAAACUCAWAUGAAUUGACGG
RNAcentral lists this ribosomal RNA (567 nucleotides) under uncultured Acetobacteraceae bacterium. RNAcentral describes it as "bacterial SSU rRNA". It matches the Rfam family "Bacterial small subunit ribosomal RNA", at positions 335 to 916 of the family's 1533-position model. Lineage: Bacteria; Pseudomonadati; Pseudomonadota; Alphaproteobacteria; Acetobacterales; Acetobacteraceae. The record is from RNAcentral.